AACGAACGCUGGCGGCAUGCCUAACACAUGCAAGUCGAACGAGACUUCCGGGUUUAGUGGCGCACGGGUGCGUAACGCGUGGGAACCUGCCCUUAGGUUCGGAACAACUCCCCGAAAGGGGUGUUAAUACCGGAUAAUGUCUUCGGACCAAAGAUUUAUCGCCUUUGGAUGGGGGCGCGUUGGAUUAGCUGGUUGGUAGGGUACAAGCCUACCAAGGCGAGGAUCCAUAGCUGGUCGGAGAGGAUGAGCAGCCACACUUGGACUGAGACACGGCCCAGACUCCUACGGGAGGGAGCAGUGGGGAAUAUAGGACAAUGGGCGAAAGCCUGAUCCAGCAAUGCCGGGUGAGUGGUGAAGGCCGUAGGGAAGUAAAGCUCUUUUACCCGGGAUGAUAAUGACGGUACCGGGAGAAUAAGCUCCGGCUAACUACGUG
Molecule: ribosomal RNA, 433 nt
Filed under: uncultured bacterium
Lineage: Bacteria
Description: partial 16S ribosomal RNA
Rfam family: Bacterial small subunit ribosomal RNA
Source: RNAcentral